UUGCUCGCGAGUCAGUCGAUCCUAAGCUCAAGGAGAGAUCUUAUGUCGAUGUGGCGUGUUUACUCUUUUAUAUUUUACUAUAUGAAAUUGAAAAUACGCCCUUUGAGCGA
Molecule: microRNA precursor, 110 nt
Filed under: Heliconius melpomene (postman butterfly)
Lineage: Eukaryota; Metazoa; Arthropoda; Insecta; Lepidoptera; Nymphalidae
Description: miRNA HMEL003442
Source: RNAcentral